CCCUUUGACCUGAGACGCUUUAGUUAGCCUCUUCAGUUUCAUCCUAUUGAAGCUCUGCCAGCUUCUGUAGGUGGUCACCUGCUGACACCAAUCUGAUUAGCUGCAUCUGGUAGGUGAACACAUUCAUAGGUGCUGGCCCAAACUCCAGUGAUUUUGGUUAUGUUUUUAACUCUGUUUGUGUGUGUGUGUGUGUGUGUGUGUGUGUGCGCGCGCGUAUGUGCACAUGCUUGUGUUGGCUGCACAGAAAUCCUUUUGGUUUUAGUGUAAAUGUAAAAAUUUUCUGAGACAGACAGUGGGAGCAGACUGGGGAGGCAGUUUAGGGUUAAGUGUAAAGAGCGAGAGAACAAGAGGGAGGGAGAGAGCAGGCAGCAGGGGAAAUAAAUUGAAAAAGCAGAGUGUAAUACAGGGUCUUGCAGGAAUUUUUGGGAAGGGGGGAAGAAAAGAAUGGACUGGUGGAAAAGGGAGACGCAGCGUAGUGUUCAGAGCUGUUGUGUUUCUAUGGGUCCCCUCUUCAAAGGGACGCUGGCCCUGAUGGCUUUACCAUACGCUGCUUUGGGGUUAGAGCUGGAGCACAGCACUGCACAGGACCUGCUCCACUGGAACUGCACUUCAAGGG
Molecule: non-coding RNA, 616 nt
Organism: Xyrichtys novacula (pearly razorfish)
Lineage: Eukaryota; Metazoa; Chordata; Actinopteri; Labriformes; Labridae
Source: the annotation of a GenBank genome assembly